This 311-nucleotide ribosomal RNA is filed under the name uncultured eukaryote. RNAcentral's name for it is "partial 18S ribosomal RNA". It matches the Rfam family "Eukaryotic small subunit ribosomal RNA", at positions 1470 to 1796 of the family's 1831-position model. The record is from RNAcentral.
CCCUUAGAUGUUCUGGGCCGCACGCGCGCUACACUGAUGCAUUCAACGAGUCCAACCUUGACCGAGAGGUCCGGGUAAUCUUUGAAACUGCAUCGUGAUGGGGCUAGAUUAUUGCAAUUAUUAAUCUUCAACGAGGAAUGCCUAGUAAGCGUGAUUCAUCAAAUCGCGUUGAUUACGUCCCUGCCCUUUGUACACACCGCCCGUCGCUCCUACCGAUGAAUCGUCCGGUGAAGUUCAUGGAGUAGUGGUUGUUCCAUCCGCUGUCGAAGUGAAAUAAACCUCAUGAUUUAGAGGAAGGAGAAGUCGUAACA